This 280-nucleotide long non-coding RNA is filed under the name Ananas comosus (pineapple). Its description in RNAcentral is "long non-coding RNA (ACOM_LNC043670)". Lineage: Eukaryota; Viridiplantae; Streptophyta; Magnoliopsida; Poales; Bromeliaceae. The record is from RNAcentral.
GUUGACAGACUCGGCAGCAUAUUGUGCCAAAUUAAAUCCCUAAUUCCUAAUUCCCUCUCUCUACCUAUUCGUUUUACAGCAACCGAACCCACCUUUCUCCCUCGCAUCUGUACGGCCUCCCUCUCUCCCGCAAGCGCGCCGUCGUCGUUCCGAUCACCGUCGUCGUCGCCGUCAUUCGCGACCGCCACCGCCGCCGUCACCGUCGCCACCGCAAUCCUCAUCUAUCAAUAAUUUUGAUUCAUCAUUGAUGACAUAUCGUCGUCAUCAUCACCAUCUUCGU